This 254-nucleotide ribosomal RNA is filed under the name uncultured bacterium. RNAcentral describes it as "partial 16S ribosomal RNA". It matches the Rfam family "Bacterial small subunit ribosomal RNA", at positions 524 to 776 of the family's 1533-position model. The record is from RNAcentral.
UACAGAGGUCUCAAGCGUUGUUCGGAUUCAUUGGGCGUAAAGGGUGCGUAGGUGGCAGGGUAAGUCGGAUGUGAAAUCCCGGGGCUCAACCUCGGAACUGCAUUCGAUACUGCUUUGCUGGAGUACUGGAGAGGAGAUUGGAAUUUACGGUGUAGCAGUGAAAUGCGUAGAUAUCGUAAGGAAGACCAGUGGCGAAGGCGGAUCUCUGGACAGUUACUGACACUGAGGCAGCGAAGGCCAGGGGAGCAAACGGG